RNAcentral lists this ribosomal RNA (92 nucleotides) under Escherichia coli. Lineage: Bacteria; Pseudomonadati; Pseudomonadota; Gammaproteobacteria; Enterobacterales; Enterobacteriaceae. The record is from RNAcentral. RNAcentral also lists the same sequence under 1 other name.
CCACCUGACCCCAUGCCGAACUCAGAAGUGAAACGCCGUAGCGCCGAUGGUAGUGUGGGGUAUCCCCAUGCGAGAGUAGGGAACUGCCAGGC